AUUGAACGCUGGCGGCAGGCCUAACACAUGCAAGUCGAGCGGAUGAAGGGAGCUUGCUCCUGGAUUCAGCGGCGGACGGGUGAGUAAUGCCUAGGAAUCUGCCUGGUAGUGGGGGAUAACGUCCGGAAACGGGCGCUAAUACCGCAUACGUCCUGAGGGAGAAAGUGGGGGAUCUUCGGACCUCACGCUAUCAGAUGAGCCUAGGUCGGAUUAGCUAGUUGGUGGGGUAAAGGCCUACCAAGGCGACGAUCCGUAACCGGUCUGAGAGGAUGAUCAGUCACACUGGAACUGAGACACGGACCAGACUCCUACGGGAGGCAGCAGUGGGGAAUAUUGGACAAUGGGCGAAAGCCUGAUCCAGCCAUGCCGCGUGUGUGAAGAAGGUCUUCGGAUUGUAAAGCACUUUAAGUUGGGAGGAAGGGCAGUAAGUUAAUACCUUGCUGUUUUGACGUUACCAACAGAAUAAGCACCGGCUAACUUCGUG
This 484-nucleotide ribosomal RNA is filed under the name uncultured bacterium. RNAcentral describes it as "partial 16S ribosomal RNA". It matches the Rfam family "Bacterial small subunit ribosomal RNA", at positions 30 to 507 of the family's 1533-position model. The record is from RNAcentral.